UAAUACCAGCACCCCGAGUGGUCNGNACNAUUAUUGGGCCUAAAGNAUCCGUAGCCGGUACUGCAAGUCUUCCGUUAAAUCCNCCUGCUUAACAGUUGGGCUGCGGGGGAUACUNCANCGCUNGGANGCGGGAGAGGCAAGCGGUACUCNAUGGGUAGGGGUAAAAUCCGCUGAUCCNUUGAAGACCACCAGUGGCGAAGGCGGCUUGCCAGAACGCGCUCGACGGUGAGGGAUGAAAGCUGGGGGAGCAAACCGGAUUAGAUACCCGGGUAGUCCCAGCUGUAAACGAUGCANACUCGGUGAUGGGCUGGNCUUGUGCCAACCCAGUGCCGCANGGAAGCCGUUAAGUCUGCCGCCUGGGGAGUACGGUCGCNAGACUGAUCUUAAAGGAAUUGGCGGGGGAGCACCACAAGGGGUGAAGCCUGCNGUUUUAUUGGAGUCAACGNCANGANUCUUACCGGGGGGACAGCAGANUGAAGUCAAGCUUAAGACUUUCCCAGUCAAGNUGAGAGGAGGUGCAUGUCCGUNGCCAGCUCGUGCCGUGAGGUGUCCUGUAAGUCAGGUAACGAGCGNGAUCCCUACCUNUAGUUGCUACCAUUACUNUCAGGAGUAGUGGGGCUAAUUAGAGGNACCGCCGCCGNUGAGGCGGAGGAAGGAGGGGGCUACGGCAGGUCAGUAUGCCCCGAAACCCUCGGGCCACACGCGGGCUGCAAUGGUAAGGACAAUGGGUUUCGAUUCUGAAAAGAGGAGACAAUCCCCAAACCUUACCCCAGUUAUGAUUGAGGGCUGAAACUCGCCCUCAUGAAUAUGGAAUCCCUAGUANCCGCGUGUCAACAUCGCGCGGUGAANANGUCCCUGCUCCUUGCACACACCNCCNGUCGCUUCAUNGAAGUUGGUUCUNGNCGAGGUGGUNCNUCAUUGGCACUAUCGAACNUGGGGUCAGCAACGAGGGAG
RNAcentral lists this ribosomal RNA (954 nucleotides) under uncultured crenarchaeote. RNAcentral describes it as "partial 16S ribosomal RNA". It matches the Rfam family "Archaeal small subunit ribosomal RNA", at positions 471 to 1429 of the family's 1478-position model. Lineage: Archaea; Thermoproteati; Thermoproteota. The record is from RNAcentral.